GGUGCAUGACUUAUUAUUAGAAAACAGGGAGGUAAAACAUGCUCCCACACAAAAGCUUAGUGUUUUAAACUGGGAGGCAACACAUCCUCCCCAAACAGUUUACUGAUUGGCCUCCUCCUUUGGCACCAUCUUUGAGCAGAAACAUCAAAACUCUGUUGUUUCAUCACCUACAAAAACAUGGGUUCGAAAACCCUGAGUACGGAGUGUACUUUCACAAGUCUUACCCGACAAAGUAAAAGACUCUCAAGGAUAUGCUGGCUUGUGGGAUUCAAGGUAAAGCUUGUCAAGAUUCAAAGACUCUGUUUGCAGAAAUGCUUACUAAUAGUUGAUCCUUAAAAAUCUAGUUUUAUUAUUAGGUUAAGUCAUUACCUGCAUCUAGAGUUCAUUCUAUCCUAGUUCAAGCACUUGGCCUACACUAGCCGUCUUUUAUCAACCCUUCAUUUCACUGGAUUUCUAUGUGUAGGGCAGUGACCAAGUCUUCAUGUCCGAGAAAUAACGGCGAUCCGAAUCGAUUAAUACCCAGCUGGGGAUCUCCAACCACGCGACAUAUGUAGCACUUAACCCUUGCAUAUGUCAACUCGCCACCGGGUUUCUCAAGACUAGACCGGGUUCACGCCAACCGAGAGCAUAGAUACACCACCGUCCAGGCUCUUGCCACGGAGGGUACACGCUACUCUUGCCAUCUCUCCACUCCCAUUGCGUGUUGGCCUUUCUGGUAUUAGUCCGACCAAGGCAAAGCUUACCCAUGACGAGGCAUGUGUCCAGUUAAAAGGUCCUCAAUCAUCAAGCCUACAUCGACACAGUCCUUAAUCGACUCAGAUGGAGACACUACAUCGAGACUUCCUUCUCGUGCAAGUCACCCGCCCGGUCUCCUCUUUAUAAUUUACAACCCAAAGUUUGGUACCUGUCAGAGGUACAUUUUUUCGAUGUUGAACCCAUCAUGGCCAUGAUGGAUUCAACAUCUAGUCUUUUCUUUAAAAACUUCCCAUCCCAUAUGAAUCAUCAUCUUUGUUUAAAACAAAACAUUUUGUUUCUAAAGGAAGACUACGCAUCAGAAAACUUUUAAGUAAAACAGGUAUCAAGGAAUGGUAAACAGUUCCAAGGAAGGAAAUGCAGCAAUUGUUUAUCAUUCAACUCGUAUCACCUAAUGCAUCAUUUCAAGUGAUAAAGAGUUUGAAAUAACAAGGAAGGGGUAAAUGCACUGAGGCUUGCCUUAUGUUGUAGGAGGCUCAGGGUCUGUUCCACAAAUAUCAAAGUAGAAGUUGUUCUCGACAGGUGGAGUUUCAGCUUGUGGGGGCAACUUCUUCUUCGACUACCACUUCUUCUUCGUUUUCUAUACAUAACAAUACAUAUACAUGAAUGCUCAUGUGAUGCUAUGAAUAUACAGUUACAAUAGAAACACACUAAGUUGUAUCUUGAAUACAACUUUCCUUCACGGUGCCCACUAGUCACUAGAGUUUCCUAGUUUAGUGAUGUAUUAGGGUUAGGUAUUUAAAUCCUAGAAGGCUAGUUUCUUGGGUUUGGGAUCAAACAAUGUCCAAAGCAUGCUAAACUUUACCCAAGGGUUUUAGUCAUCAUAUUAAGCUCACCCAAAAAGUUUUACUAUUUUUGGAGCUACCAAUUAAAUUCUAAAAUUCUAAAAGGCUAGGUUUAGGCAUCUUUAAAUGCUAAAUAAUUCCUGAUUGAGACUAAAAACCUUGGAACUAUUUUUAUUAAAUAGUAGAGGAAUUUAGGAGUCUAGUAAAAUUGGUCCCAUUUUUUUAAUCAUUUUUCUACCAAUUUCUAUGGAUUUCCAAACUUACUUGGAAAAAGAAAAGGAAAAACUAUUAACAGUGUUGGGCCGAAAUCAGCCCAACAGACCUAGGCCUACACAAAACUCAGGCGCGCCAGCGACCGCGCGGGUGGAUUGCGCAAAGGCCUCUGAUCAUUCAAACAAUUGCGAAGCGCUCACUGAUACUAUUCACAUGAGUCACUUACACUCACAUCAAAGCCCUUCUUCUUGGUUCUAUUUAUGUCCGCGAGACCCCCGACGACGCCGCAUCGAACACCAGACAGCCGCUAUCGGAGCUCACCGCCGGCAGCCCUCUUUCGAGGCGACGAGCACCCCAGCCACUUCCCUAGGCAUAACCAACCCUCACCCCACAACCAAUAGGAUUAUUAUGGCCUACGGUCUACGAUACUCGGUUCAUGGCGGACUCCGAGGUUCGCUGGGCUUGGUCUCGAUGCCGCGACGCGGUAGAACUCAAUUGAUAGGCAUGACAAGCACUAAGGACUCACUAGGAGCUCGAAACGGUAGUGGGAUGGGUAGGACGAAGAACAGAGAGGGCGGUCCACGUCGGGGUGGUGGACCACGGAAUAUUCUAGCGUCGAAGGGUUGUUUCAGUGAGAUAAAGGCAGUAACGUUAAAUUAAAUGGAUCGAGGAGUACCCCUAGCAUCGGAGGAAGCUCGAACGAAUAGAAUUUAAGGAAUGCUUGCUCAAUUUGACCUGGCCAUGGAGGGGUCUUUCACGGCGAAGCCGAGAACAGCGAGGGGGGAGCCAACGACUUUAUUAGGUUUCUUCACGAAAUUGAGCGGGUUGCGUAAGCAC
RNAcentral lists this long non-coding RNA (2588 nucleotides) under Zea mays. Its description in RNAcentral is "long non-coding RNA (ZMAY_LNC005302)". Lineage: Eukaryota; Viridiplantae; Streptophyta; Magnoliopsida; Poales; Poaceae. The record is from RNAcentral.